Molecule: ribosomal RNA, 1343 nt
Filed under: uncultured bacterium
Lineage: Bacteria
Description: 16S ribosomal RNA
Rfam family: Bacterial small subunit ribosomal RNA
Source: RNAcentral
GACGAACGCUGGCGGCGUGCUUAACACAUGCAAGUCGAACGGAAAGGCCCUGCUUUUGUGGGGUGCUCGAGUGGCGAACGGGUGAGUAACACGUGAGUAACCUGCCCUUGACUUUGGGAUAACUUCAGGAAACUGGGGCUAAUACCGGAUAGGAGCUCCUGCUGCAUGGUGGGGGUUGGAAAGUUUCGGCGGUUGGGGAUGGACUCGCGGCUUAUCAGCUUGUUGGUGGGGUAGUGGCUUACCAAGGCUUUGACGGGUAGCCGGCCUGAGAGGGUGACCGGCCACAUUGGGACUGAGAUACGGCCCAGACUCCUACGGGAGGCAGCAGUGGGGAAUAUUGCACAAUGGGCGGAAGCCUGAUGCAGCAACACCGCGUGCGGGAUGACGGCCUUCGGGUUGUAAACCGCUUUCGCCUGUGACGAAGCGUGAGUGACGGUAAUGGGUAAAGAAGCACCGGCUAACUACGUGCCAGCAGCCGCGGUGAUACGUAGGGUGCGAGCGUUGUCCGGAUUUAUUGGGCGCAAAGGGCUCGUAGGUGGUUGAUCGCGUCGGAAGUGUAAUCUUGGGGCUUAACCCUGAGCGUGCUUUCGAUACGGGUUGACUUGAGGAAGGUAGGGGAGAAUGGAAUUCCUGGUGGAGCGGUGGAAUGCGCAGAUAUCAGGAGGAACACCAGUGGCGAAGGCGGUUCUCUGGGCCCUUCCUGACGCUGAGGAGCGAAAGCGUGGGGAGCGAACAGGCUUAGAUACCCUGGUAGUCUACGCUGUAAACGGUGGGUACUAGGUGUGGGGUCCAUUCCACGGGUUCCGUGCCGUAGCUAACGCUUUAAGUACCCCGCCUGGGGAGUACGGCCGCAAGGCUAAAACUCAAAGGAAUUGACGGGGCCCCGCACAAGCGGCGGAGCAUGCGGAUUAAUUCGAUGCAACGCGUAGAACCUUACCUGGGUUUGACAUGGAUCGGGAGCGCUCAGAGAUGGGUGUGCCUCUUUUGGGGUCGGUUCACAGGUGGUGCAUGGCUGUCGUCAGCUCGUGUCGUGAGAUGUUGGGUUAAGUCCCGCAACGAGCGCAACCCUUGUUCACUGUUGCCAGCACGUUAUGGUGGGGACUCAGUGGAGACCGCCGGGGUCAACUCGGAGGAAGGUGGGGAUGACGUCAAGUCAUCAUGCCCCUUAUGUCCAGGGCUUCACGCAUGCUACAAUGGCUGGUACAGAGAGUGGCGAGCCUGUGAGGGUGAGCGAAUCUCGGAAAGCCGGUCUCAGUUCGGAUUGGGGUCUGCAACUCGACCUCAUGAAGUCGGAGUCGCUAGUAAUCGCAGAUCAGCAACGCUGCGGUGAAUACGUUCCCGGG